GAUGAAGAACGUAGCGAAAUGCGAUAAGUAAUAUGAAUUGCAGAUUUUCGUGAAUCAUCGAAUCUUUGAACGCACAUUGCGCCCUUUGGUAUUCCAAAGGGCAUGCCUGUUUGAGCGUCAUUUCUCUCUCAAAUCUUCGGAUUUGGUUUUGAGUGAUACUCUUAGUCAGACUAGGCGUUUGCUUGAAAUGUAUUGGCAUGAGUGGUACUAGAUAGUGCUAAACUGUUUCAAUGUAUUAGGUUUAUCCAACUCGUUGACCAGUGAAGUAUUUGUUUAUUACACAGGCUCGGCCUUACAACAACAAACAAAGUUUGACCUCGAAUCAGGUAGGACUACCCGCUGAACUUAAGCAUAUCAAUAAGCGGAGGA
RNAcentral lists this unclassified non-coding RNA (369 nucleotides) under soil metagenome. Its description in RNAcentral is "partial contains 5.8S ribosomal RNA, internal transcribed spacer 2, and large subunit ribosomal RNA". The stretch from base 1 to 120 matches the Rfam family "5.8S ribosomal RNA", at positions 35 to 154 of the family's 154-position model. The record is from RNAcentral.